AUGGACAUUCCUGGCAACCCUCCUGGGGAAUCAGCUAGAGGCUGCGUGGAUGCAGACUUGACUUCAGGUACACUUCUUUAUUGGUUAACCUACCUUCCUUCUGGGAGGAAGGAACACUUUUGCAAUGUCCCCAGAGGGACAUUUGCCACCUGGAAUCCAACCGAAUGGAGUCUGCCAGGAGCUUGUGCAGCAUCUGCAAUGCCAGUUCCAGUUUACAGAGGACUCAGGCUGGCAGUGAGGACUCAGCUGAGAUCAUCAAACCUUUGGAACUGGCUUGAGCUCAAAAUGCUAGGUGCCCUGAGCCAAGAAGCAACAGAACUCACUUGUGGCUCCCUUGUCCUGAAGCCACAGGGCCACAUGCUGAAGGCCUGCCCCUGCAGCUCUCUCCAACCUCAUCAGACCAGCAAAACCACCUUGUUCCUAAGUCCUUUCUAGAAGCUGGCAUGCCUGGGGUGAAAACAUCCAGUGUCCCAAUGAAAUAUAUGCCAUUUAUAUAAGGUACACUGCUUUGUUGUUGUUAACACAGUGAGGGGAUGGGAGGCAGGCAUUUCAAACUCAUGACUUCAAGGCAACCCAAACAGAUGUUAAAGCCUGACCAUCCUUUUUGUGAAGAUCAUAAAUACAGCUCAAUUUAUUGUAAUGCUCAGAGGUGUCAGGCACUGUUCUAAGCACUUCAUUAACCCUCUCAACAACCAUGAAAUGUAGAUAUUGUUAUUACGUCCAUGCCACAGAUGAGGAAACUGAGGCACAGAGAGGUUAAGUAACCCACAGGUUUACAAAACUAUCAAGCGCCAGAACAAACUACAAACUAUCAACCCAGCACCAGAGCCUAUGCCCUUAACCACACUAUAAUAUAUAUAUGGAGGUCAUGCCUAGUUUUAAAAAGAAGCACUGCGGUUUUUUCUCUGCAGCUACCACCUCUGGCACCGUGGGCAGGAGGCAAGACCUGGUCUGUAGAGUGUGUGGGCCUUGAACUCCCAGCAUGCAGCUCUUCAGCCUCCAAGCGUGCUGGCCACCUCUGAGCACUCAUUAAAGUCAGAUGUAAUUUCUCUGUUGUCCAGUUCGGUUGGGAAGGGGGCUACUCAGUGUAAUCUAAUAUCUUAGUUUAUACAUUCUGCAGGGUUUAGGGUCUACAGGAGUGUGAAAAUAGCAGAUUAUCAGACUGACAAGACCCAAUUUUGGCCUUGUGAUUUUGUGUCCUGUGAGCUUGGGUGCUACAGAUGUGGAAGGUGGAAGAGAGUGAACUGAACAUUUAGGGACCCUCUGACACCCCUGGAAAAUGUUUUUGCAAUCCCUGCUCUCUAUUUGUUUAUGCAUCAUUUUGCACAGAAGUAGCUGAGCGCGUGUAAUCACAUAGCCCAGCCCAACUGGCCUGUUAACAAAGCUAUCUAAUCACUGGCAUGCCAAGCGAACCACUAGCCUUGACUACUUUACUCUGACAUUUAGUUAAACAGAGAUGAUGCCCUUAUGCCUUCCAAAAUGGCUGCAUCAUAAAAUAUUAAAGUAACGGAAGUGUCCGCGAGUGAGAGCUCUCAAGGAAGGAGGAAUAUUCCUUACAAGUACAAACAACAGCCAAGUGUAUCUGACAAUGAAUGCAUCAUUUACAGGCCAGCUUGUGGCAUCAUUAAAAACGGAUCUUACUGUUUGUUGGGGGCUUGGGGAAAUUAACGAUUAAAAAAAAUGAAAUUGGCUCAAAAAGACAUGGUGGCCUUAGUAGUCUGGGAAAAAGGAAUAUGAUCAUUCGGGAAAUAUUAAUGAGCUUCCACAGUAUGAGAGGCACUGGACUAGGCAUGGGGACACAGAGGGAAGAAGGUCCCACCUUUGUGAAGCUCAAGUUUAGAGGGUGAAUGGGAUGGGCAGGUCUGCAGGGAGUUACACACAGUGUGCAAAUGGUGCAAGAGAAAUAAGCACAGGGCAACGUGGGAGAGAGAUACCAGGGGUGUCCCUCCCAGUUUUGAGAAGUCAGAACAGGCUUUUCUAAUGUAUUAAUUUCUAAUUCAACAUUUGAAGGACAAAAUGGAGAGAAAAGGAUGAAAGGGGAACCCCCAAGUAUUUGCAAAGGUCCGGAGGGUAAGUAAAAACCAUAGAGGGACAGAGCAAAGAGGGGACAGAAGAGACCAUAUGUCCCAGUUUAUGGUGCCUCCUCAAAGAUGUGAGUCUUGGCAACUUCCAGCCAAGAUAAAGAGAAAGGACACAAGGUACAUUACAACGUCACCAGUACUGUUUACCCUUCCCAUGCCCCUGAAAACAUAGCACAUUCAGGGAGCUACAAGGUCCCCAGUACUGUUUACCCUUCCCAUGCCACUGGAAACAUGGCACAUUCAGGGAGCUACAGGGUUUCAGAAUGAUUAGAGCAGAAGGGGCAAGACCAAGAAGUGGCAAGAGAUGAGCCUCUGAGAUUUCCCCAGAGAUGAGAGUCUGGAGGGCCUCAUGACUUAUAUCAAAGAUUUGGGGUAUGGGAGCCGCUGAAGGAUUCUAAGCAGAUCAGAUUAGAAAGAUCCUCCUGGCUGCUCUAUGGAGGCUGAAUGGGAGAAGGAAGUCAAGACCAGAGGUGGGCAAACCCAUUAGGAGACUAUUGCAGUGAGGGACACUACAGUGGCCUGAUUCUGGUAGAAAGUAUUCAAGAAAACACUCAUUUCUCCUUUUCAUCACUUCCUCUUGAGUGACUCUGUCUUUUGGAGCUCUCUGAAGUCAAUAUAUUUGCUUUGGCUAUUAAUAUUCAGCAGGAAUAGAGGGAUGGUGCCCAGUUCUUACCCCUGGGAGCUCACAUCUCUUCCCCAGAAUGUCGUGACUCUGUUCUUCAGCACAGGAAGGAAAUACCAUUUCCCCAGCUCUUUCUUCAAAAAAGUCACUCUCGAUUUGCUUCUGGGCGAUGUUUGUCUCUGGACAGAGCUUGGAUUCCAUGAGCCUGUGCGUGUGUGCGCUGCAGUCCAGCUCAGGGGUGGCUCUGCUUUUCUUGACUUCCUGGAUGCCGGAGAACUUAAAACAGUGUUGUUUCCUCCUGAUGCUUAUCUCCACAACCCUUUCUCAGAAUGUCUUGCCCAUUAACUUUCUAACAGCACCAUUUUUGGUGCCAAGCUUCUUGUUUGAAGGCUUGGAGCUUUACUGGAGCAAAAAACAAUUGCAUUUCUGCCUGUCACCCGCCUCUCAUUCCCCUAAACCAUGCCUACCUUUCCUCUGAGCCAACACACAAAGCUAUGCACUUCUUGAGAAACACCUGCCCUGGGUCCCUGGAAGGUGGCUCAUGGAUCAUCACUGCAAUGCAUUUUAAAAGAAGAGCCAAAAAUGCAGGGAACACUAUCCCUGGCAAUGGAUUCCUCAAAGAAGUCACAGGCACUGGGUAAGAACGACCAGAAGCCCUGAUACAACUCCUCACACCUCAGAAUCCUUCGUGGCUCCCCAUUGCCUUCAGGAUAAAGCACAAGCCUACUGGGUAUCUGUGGGGUCUUUUCUGGACAGCAGGGUUCAGUUCUGUUUCUGCCUUUUGAAGCCCCAGUGUGUUUUUAUUGGGUAACGGGUGUGUGAUUGGACCUGCCAUGGCUGCCUGACCCAGGGGAACAGCUCCCCCUGCUGGUGGGAAGGUCUGCUGCACCUUGGCCCCUAUUGCCCGUGUACCUCACUUCGUGCAUUGUGUUCCUGGUGAUUUGCACGUUAAACUGAAUCAUCUGCUGAGUGUUCUUGGGGUGUUCACUUCUAAAAGGAAAUCCGUGGCAAAUUCUUUUUGUGAGGCGAGAAAUUCUUUUUGGAGCAAAACCUGAUAGCAUCUCUGCCCUUGGAAUAAUCACUGCCCUUCCCCAUCCCCUCGCUUGUUGAUGUUCAGAAUGUUGGAGUUUAUUGAAGGGGGUCUGUUGAUUCUGGGGUUCAGGAUGAGGACCCUGGGCAUGGGUCCUGGGGAAAGGCCACAGUAGCUGAAGCUGAGCCGCAGAUACUUGUACAUCUGACAUUUCCAUGCUUUGCGGAGGCUCCUUAUAACCUGAAGCUUGUCUUUUAAGGGGUUGAUACGUCUCAAAGUCUGGCGAGGGGGUGGUGUUCACAGCUUCAAAGGCCCCCCACUGGCAGAUUCAGGUGGACCCACGCACACAUUUGGAAAUGGGUCAACUCUUGUGGGCCUUGGCUAAAUUAUCAGGAGGAAGCAGAAAGGAGAAGGCAAAGAGAAACAUGCCCUCCAUUAGAAGGGUAUCAACGUUUUACCCAAAGGGGAUCUGCCUAUCACAGUUACAGUUGUUUUUCCUCCUUCCAGAUGUUGUGUGUUACAAAGUCCUUUAUUAGUAAGCACACACAUGGCAGCCUCAGCCAAGUCCAGUGCCAGUGCCAGCCUUACGCCUCCAACCAUGGUGGCUGCAGUUAAUUAAGCAUGAGGUACAGUGUGCUAUGCACUGAGGUAUGAAUCCCGUGCUUCUGGGAGCACCAUUCUGUAAAAAUGAGACUCCCAUUACAGCCUGGACACUUGGCUCAAGAUAAUGGGAUUAAGCUUCAAGGCUUGAUCUCUUUUGAGAUUAGAAUCCUUGCUAUGGGAACCCAUGUUCAAGGCCAACAUCCUCGUUUUACCUGGAGACCCAGGCAGGUGAACCCUGGGUCAUUUCCAAACUAGGCUCCUUAGGAGUCAAAGUCUGGAGACCCAAUUUGCAUCUCUAUAGUUGAUUGGAGUGCUGGAUCCCUGCUAAUCCAGUCAUCUAAUAAGGCCAGAACCCACUGGACUUGAAAAUUAUGUUCACGGCAUCUUAAGCUCAGGGCAUGAAGGAAAACCCAGAAUAAAAAGUACAAAGACUCUUUCCUUCUUCAAUUGAGAAGGCAGACAGGCUAUGUGCACUUGAAAAUGGUUAUAAACACCAGACCCACCAAUUAUAAUUUAGGAGGUCUUAUAUGUAAUCUGCCCAGUUCCAGAUACUUUAAUUCUAUGUUGCAGGGAAGUAAGUGCCAGCUGGCCACAGACCGACCAGGCUCAGGGUUCAGUUCUAAACAUCACUGUUUGGGAAAAGCUCAAUCUAAAACAGACAGCUCUGGAUGUGUUUAGGUUUUGCUUUCUUUCCACUUUUAAAUAUUAAAAAUUGACUCCAGCUGUGGGGUAGAAAGUAACGCCUAACCUAUAAAAACAUUGACAAAUAAAUCACAAUGCAAUUUGCCGCGCAUUUUUGUGAGGUCUAAACACCAGUUCUUGAAAGGAAUUUUCCAUUAUUGCAUCUUGGGAAGAUAACUUCUUCAUGAAAAAUUCAUUUGACUUUUGUAUUUCAUAAAAUCAUCACAUAGCAUUCCCACAUUUGGGAUCUGCAUGUACUGGAGCAACCCUGGCUUUCAGCUUCGCUUUCCAGACUCCUCA
This 5317-nucleotide long non-coding RNA is filed under the name Macaca mulatta (Rhesus monkey). Its description in RNAcentral is "lncRNA (ENSMMUG00000051835.1)". The record is from RNAcentral. Lineage: Eukaryota; Metazoa; Chordata; Mammalia; Primates; Cercopithecidae.